AUUGAACGCUGGCGGCAGGCCUAACACAUGCAAGUCGAACGGUAACAGGAAGCAGCUUGCUGCUUCGCUGACGAGUGGCGGACGGGUGAGUAAUGUCUGGGAAACUGCCUGAUGGAGGGGGAUAACUACUGGAAACGGUAGCUAAUACCGCAUAGCGUCGCAAGACCAAAGAGGGGGACCUUAGGGCCUCUUGCCAUCGGAUGUGCCCAGAUGGGAUUAGCUAGUAGGUGGGGUAACGGCUCACCUAGGCGACGAUCCCUAGCUGGUCUGAGAGGAUGACCAGCCACACUGGAACUGAGACACGGUCCAGACUCCUACGGGAGGCAGCAGUGGGGAAUAUUGCACAAUGGGCGCAAGCCUGAUGCAGCCAUGCCGCGCGUAUGAAGAAGGCCUUCGGGUUGUAAAGUACUUUCAGCGGGGAGGAAGGGAGUAAAGUUAAUACCUUUGCUCAUUGACGUUACCCGCAGAAGAAGCACCGGCUAACUCCGUG
RNAcentral lists this ribosomal RNA (490 nucleotides) under uncultured bacterium. RNAcentral's name for it is "partial 16S ribosomal RNA". It matches the Rfam family "Bacterial small subunit ribosomal RNA", at positions 30 to 507 of the family's 1533-position model. The record is from RNAcentral.